CCCAAGAAAACAAAACAAGAGAACAUUCUGGGUCUUUAUUAGCAGGCUCCUUUCUGCUGGGCAGCCCCAGCCCGGCAAGGCCAUGAGUCGGAGCCUCCGUGUAGGGCGGGUCUCCUCAAAACGCGUGCACCAGCUGGACAGCGGGCAGCGUCUGCACGAUCUGGAUGGAGGGCAGGGCCUGCGGGCUCACAAGCCCAGGCGCGGUCCCUGCGGGGACCACCUGCACCAUCUGGGGGGCAGUAGUCAUGGUGCCGGCUGCCGCAGGGGCAGAGACUGGGCCAGGGGGCGGAGGGGCCAGGAGCUGCAGCGUGGCGGUGCCUCCCCCCACGCUGCGGCUUUCCAGCAGCUCGGCGGCAGGGGCGCUGCGGAUGAUGAGCAGUUUCUGUCCAGGAGGAGCUGAGGCAGGUGGCUCAGUCAGCCCAGUAGGAAGGGUUUCUACCUCCUGCACACACAGCCGUGUCUGCUCCCCAUCCGCUCCGCUCAGCACCAGCACGCUCUGCAGCCCCUCGUCUGUCUGCAGCGUCUCAAAGACAACAUCCUGCACCACACCCGCGCUGGCCUCGCCAUCCCCGGCCUCUCCAGGACCUGGGGCCGCAAGCAGCUCCUCAGCUGCCUCGCUCUGGACCACCAGCAGGUUGGGGGCCUCGUGGUCACUGCUCCUCCACUGGAAUUGGACAGCUGGCCUGCCAAAGGCUGCAGCUGGACCGUGGUCACUUCCUGGGCCGGCUGGAGCUGGACCGUGGUCACUUCCUGGGCCGGCUGGAGCUGGACUGUGGUCACUUCCUGGGCCGGCUGGAGCUGGACCCCACUCACUUCCUGAGGCCCUGCAUCCCCACUCCCUACAUUCUGCAAGACAAUGAGGCUCUGCCCUCCCCCACUGCCCCCUGCACCACCACCCCCCCUGCACCCCCCAGGCCGCCAGGCCCCGGUAGCCAAACCACUCCUGCACCCUGGCCAGCUUUUCCCAGAGCCCGAGGCCCCUGCCUCGCUGGUCCACCCCCAGCACCGGAGGGGGGCAGCAGGAUAAGCUUAGGGGGGAGCAGGUGGGGGCGGCGGGUGGGGGGCUGGACACUGCUGGGGAUCAGCUGGAGGCCCUGGGCGGUCUGCACCAGGAGAAAUGUCUGGGAGUUGGGUGCUGCUGGGCCUGGGGCGGGGCCUGGGCCGUGCCCCCGCCACCUCGAGGGAAAGUGUGGCCUGGAGGUGGGGGAGCACGUGGACAUCCUGGGUGGCCAGCGGGGCUGGGGCUGCGGCCAGCGGGGCCGGGGCUGGGGGGCUGCAGCACCAGAGGCCGCCUGGGCCGGGGUGUAAGCGUCCUCAUGUGCCGCUGCAGGUAGGCAGCCAUGACGGCCGCGCCGCAGAUGGCACAGGUGAAGGGGCGCCGGCUGAGUGCGUGCGCUGGUGCAGCAGCAGGUUGGAUGAGUGCGUGAAGGUCUUGGGGCAGAGCGCACAGCGGAAGGGGCGCUCGCCCGCGUGCACGCGCUGGUGCUGCCGCAGGUUGGUGCUCUGCGUGAAGCUCUUGCCGCACACGCCGCACGUGUAGGGCCGCUCGCCCGUGUGGACAUGCCGGUGGUACUGGUAGUGCGAUGACCACUUGAAGGCCAGGCCACACUGGCCGCAGGUGAAGGCGCGCAGGCCGGUGUGCACACUGCGGUGGAUCUGCAGCAGCGAUGAGCGCUGAAGGCCUUGGGGCAGUCGGGGCACUGGUAGGGCCGCUCGCCCGUGUGGCCUCGCUGAUGGUAGAGCAGUGCAGAGGAGCCCUUGAAGGCCUUGGGGCAGUCGGGGGCACUUGUAGGGCCGCUCGCCAGUGUGCGUGCGCUGGUGAUGCAGGAGCCUGGACGACCACCGGAAAGACUUGCCGCACUCCCGCACUCAUACUGGGCCGUGGUCGCGGGGCCGCCGGCGCCAGCUUCUCCCUGGCCCCUCGGUGGUGGAGGCAGGCACCAUGUCUGCUUGGGAGCCGACCAUCACACCUGGGGGCGGGGGUUCCAGGUCAGGCCACAGAGCCUGGGCCCUGGAGGGAGAGGGCCACCCCCUGGGUCCCCUUUGCUCAGGGAACCUGCUCAGGAGCGGGGCUUCCCAACCCCAGGUGUCCCCUGGGCCUGCAGGGCAGAGGGGUGUGGCCUGGGGUCACUUCCGGGUUUGAACAAAACUUGCCGCACACAGUCCAGCCGCCCCUCCAGAGGCCCCAGCGGUUCUGAGGAGGCUCGGCCUGGCCUUUCAGGCUGAGCUGCCUCCCUCUAAAUGCACCCACCGCAGCUUCCUGUCCUCAGCACCUCCUCCCCUGCUGGGCGUGGCUGUGCACACUUAUGAUCCCGGCAAUCAGGAGACUGAAGCAGGAGGAUCUUGAGUUCAAGGCCAGCCUGGACUAUUAGGGAGUUCAAGGGCAGCCUGGACUACACAGUGACACCCUGUCUCAAAAAACCAGAACACGUUUUGAAUAAAUAUUUUUUAAAAGACCUUAUUCCCAACUCCACCUCAACACUUGCUCACCACCACACCCUGAAGCAGUGGUCGUGGACCCAUGGCACCCUGGCCACCGAGCACGCCAGUCACUGAGUAAAAGCUGUCAGAAGAGUGUUCUAACAUUCCGGCCACGCCAGGGGCUCUCAACUGGCACAACUGCCCCCCACCCCAGGACAGCUGGUGACAGCUGGAAGCACUGCUUCUCUGCCAGCUAGAGAAGCAGGGCCACUGGUACCAGUGGGCAGAGGCCGGGAUUCUUCCCACCAUCGGUUCGGUGCAUAGGACAGUCCCUCGGGAGGACCUGGUCCAAACGGCUGAGAAACCUCACCACCUGCCCGGCCUGCCCGGGCCCAGGCCUCUGGCCUCCCCGCACAUCCUGAACCUCCCAGGAGCUCUCCCGACAGGUUCCUCCACACACACCCUCCCGCUAGGCCCCCAUCUUCUCCAAGAAGGUGCUGGGUGUGGCCCAUGCCAGUGAUCCUAGCUACACUGGAGGCUGAGGCAGGAGGGAAAGUGUGAGCCCAGCUGGGGCAACUUGAUAAGACCUUGUCUGAGAAUAAAAAGUGCUGAGGAUGUAGCUCGGUAAUACAAAGCUUCCCACAAUGCACCAGUCCCUGAGUGCAGUCCCCAGCACCAAAAACCAAUCAACCAACCAAACAAACCAACCUACACUCCAGUCCCCAGGCAGCCACGGCUUUCCUUCUCUCUGCCUCUCUGGAGCAGAGCGGCUCUCAAGUGUCAACCUGCUCUUCCCACCCCAAACCACUCUGCCACUCUGCUGCCACUGCCCAGCAUCCAUAAGGGCGCCCACUUCAAACAUAAUGUGGCCAAACUCUAGGAGCAGUUUUCUGAUCCUGUGCCUUCCUAUCAAAAAUUUAAAAACCUACUCAACCAGUCUUCUAUGAAAACAGGGGGGCCAUUCUUCCUCUGGCCAAGGGCCCUGCCUGCCUCGCCGCCUCCGCUCUCUGUAUAAUCAACCGUCAGGAGAUCCCGGGCUCCACAGGACUGCAGCCAGAAGCUGGGGCCUCGGUCAUGCCUCCCCUGGGCAGCGGUGGUGUCUUCCUAACAGGUCGCCACGUCUCCACCCUGUCUGUUCCCUAAGGGACCCGUCAGGAGAGGACAGGGCAUCACAUUCCUCACUCCCAGGCCUCCUGAAGACCCCUCAAGGCUCAGCCUCUGCUUCCCAGAGCCCAAUCAUCCCUUCCUGCCUCCAAGCCCAGCAAGACAGGCUGUGCCACUCCCUCCACGUCCACGACCCCCCCCCAGUCUUCCCUGAGAGCUGCAUGGCCUUCGACUGCCUGCAGGGCCUCGAGCCCUUCCAACACUGCCUCCUCUCCCCGACUUCACUUGCUCUCCAUCGCGCUCAUCACCAUCCAAGUGCUACACAGCGAGGCAUCUUGGCCUUGGGAGCGGACUCCUCUGUCCAAGGGUCCCCUGCUUUCCUGGUGUUGAGCGGCGACCCUGAACUCGACCCACACCCUCGCAGGUGUGGCAGCAGCCACAAUGACCCUCGCCUAGGAAGCCUCCUACUCGCUCCUGCAGUGUCAUCCCGGAGAACAGCACCGCCCCCAGGUGACAACCGCUACCACACAAUGAUUGCCUCUGCCUCCCCGGGCUAGAAGGCCAGCCCCACGCAAAGGCCUUGGUUUUGUUCCCUGUAGUGUCUCGGCCCCUACAUAACGUCGGGCGUGGCGUGUGCGCUGGAAACGCUUCUGGAGGAAGGCAAGCUGCAGGUCUCGUCUGGACAGGGGUCUUUCCUUUAAAAGAUGGGCGUCCCUUUCGGGUGCGAGCAGCUCCUUGAAAGACAUUGAUUAUCCCAAGGGGCUGGUCUGCCUCUGAGAAGGGGUCAUCGCCGUAUACUCGGGACGCCCGCGCUCCGGAGUGGCGAGCCCAUCCCCGCCUUGGAGCGGGCCGGCUGCCCCUCUAGGGGAUGCGUCGGCCUCACACCAUCUCCACCUCUGCAGCACAAAGAUCCUGCAGUUUUCCCUUGGAUGUCUGGGAAACUGGCACUGGCCUUCAAUGGAAUAACCCUCUUUUGGGGGGCAAGGCGCAAAGCUUUGUAAAAUGGGAAGCCUGCCACGCCCUCGAAACGCAGUCCCUUGCCCUUUAAGAGGGUGGGGCCGAUGCAGGCACAGAAAUCGGAGGCGAAUCAGCGGCCUCCCCUUUAAGGCGCCCCUUCCGGUUUCUCGCUUGCCGUUUCCCAAACUACUCCGCCCUCCGGCCCCUCCCCCCUCGCGCCCUCCGGUUUCUCACCUGCGGCCCCGGUUGGGGGACCCGGGGGAGUCUCCGGGUAUCGCCGCGGGGACCGAUGGGAAGGCGGGCCGGCACGGCACCGCAGCAGCGGAGGCCGGGGAGGGGCGGGGGCGCGCACCCUCCCGGCGGCCCCGGCGCGAGGCACCCAACCUUUAUCGGCGGCCGCUCGCGCACACAACCCCGACGCCGACGCCGCGUCAUGACGCACGCACGCACGUGUGCCGCGCAGCCGGGCCCCGCCCCCGGCCCGCGGCCUGGAGGGUCGGGGGGCGUCUUGGGUUCCGCGUGGGCACUGCGGACGGCCCCAAUCUCCUCGCCGACCGAGCACCCCCCUUCCCGCAGCGCUUCCGAGCGAGCCCCGCCUAGCCGAGGUGACGGGUCUCGCUAUGCAGUUCAGGCUGGCCUCCAACUCCCGGCGACCCUCCUGCCUUAGCCUCCCGAGCGCUGGGAUUAUAAGUCACUCAAAUUGCAAUCUUCAGCAAUUUGGGGUUUUUUCUUUUUUUUGGUACCAGGGCUUGAACUCGGGUCCUUUCGCUUGCGCAGCAGGCGACGAAAAACCAUUGAGCUAAAUCCCCGGCCCCUGAAAAUUGCAAUCUUAACAUUGUACUUUUAAGACAACUGCAGCUUCAACGCACAGUUACCCAGGACCCCAGUGCUUUUUUUCCCUUCCAGGCAACUCCAAAAUUCCUAAGAGUCUCAAAAGAUACAGCGAGCCUAAGUGGGCCCUGCCUUUCUCCUGUAAAUUGGGCCUGAGCCGGUGCUUAUCUUCCAGCACUGUAGAUUGACCAGUUCCAUCCGCAGGAAACGGUAGUUGCAAUCGAUUGAGUACCGUGUCUCUCAACUCCGAACUCCGGUGAAUGUCUCGCAUUCUAACCUAGCGGGCUACAGUCACCCGCGCAGACAGACCGAGUACUCACCCUAGGUGCUCCGCGUCGGGUCACCCCCGAACCAUACCUAUCCGAG
RNAcentral lists this long non-coding RNA (5679 nucleotides) under Heterocephalus glaber (naked mole-rat). RNAcentral's name for it is "lncRNA (ENSHGLG00000042783.1)". Lineage: Eukaryota; Metazoa; Chordata; Mammalia; Rodentia; Bathyergidae. The record is from RNAcentral.